AUGUGCCCCCUCCUCCUCGUCCUGAUCAGGCGGACCUCUCGAUCCGCCGUCAUCCUCCUUGUGCGAGGCCGCCGCCGCGUUGUCUCACUCACCUGCACCUCCAGGAGAGGCCGCCUGCGCCGCCCUUGCCCGGUCCCGGCCGGACACCGCCGUCAGGGCCCCGUUCCCACCUCCGGUGCGCCAAGACCGUUGCCUUGCGGCCGCCGCAGGCCAGCACCACCUCCGGCCUCCCCUUCAUCGGCAUCGUCCCCUGCUCCUCGCCUCGAGCAACGGUGCUUCAAGGCCGGCCUCCUGCAGCUCGUCGGUUGCCGGGGCUACCAAUACCAGCAAUCAGCCGCUCCGCCGCCGUUUUGCAGGAGCUCCACCUCCCUGCUUCGCCUCCGCCUCUCCUCUUGCUGCUGCUCAAGCCCUCGUCUGUCAUGGCCUUCCUCAUGCCCGUGCGUUUCUUUUCGUUCCCUGCACCGAUGCGUCGCCGGAGAAGCACCUGCUCCUCUUGCAGUCGAUGUGCCCUGCCUUGGCCUCCUGUUCACGAUGACCGGAAGACCGCAGGAGACUUCUCUGCCGCCUCCAUGCACCUCCGGUGACCUCCCGAGGCAGGGCCUUGGCAAGUCCCUUGAUGCCCCUUCAGAUUCAUCAAGACCGGCAAGUUCGACUUCGGCGCCAAGUUCGUCUUCAAAUCUGUACGACUACACCCGACGUGGAUUUCGGCGAGUACCUGGAGGCCACAACGAUGCCAAGUACCAUGACACUCAUGUUCGUCUACAGAAUGUGUACCACUACGCCGUCAAGACUGGACCGACAAGUACCCCAACGUCAUGUGAACAACGACCGCCGUCGAAUGACCCAGGUAGCAAAACGUCAAGUACCUAUGACCGAAGAACGCCAUGUACCUCUCUGAAAAAUGAAUAUGUACCACUACGUCCGGAGACCUUGAACCCGUCAAGUCCGACAACGUUUGUGUACAACUACCGACGACGUGCAUGUUGCCAAGUACCCUCUCCGGACCGUCAUGUUCGACUACCGAUAAACAUGUACCACUACCGUCGCCGAGAUCGCGAGAACCUCUACCGUCGACCCUAG
This 1080-nucleotide ribosomal RNA is filed under the name Triticum aestivum (bread wheat). Its description in RNAcentral is "partial small subunit ribosomal RNA". Lineage: Eukaryota; Viridiplantae; Streptophyta; Magnoliopsida; Poales; Poaceae. The record is from RNAcentral.